AUACGGAGGAUCCGAGCGUUAUCCGGAUUUAUUGGGUUUAAAGGGUGCGCAGGCGGCCAUUUAAGUCAGCGGUUAAAUCGUGGGGCUCAACCCCAUUCUGCCGUUGAUACUGGGUGGCUUGAUUGCGGUCGAGGUUGGCGGAAUUCGUUGUGUAGCGGGGAAAUGCAUAGAUAUGACGAAGAACACCGAUUGCGUAGGCAGCUGACCAGAUCGCAAAUGACGCUCAUGCACGAAAGUGCGGGGAUCGAACAGGAUUAGAUACCCUGGUAGUCCGCACAGUAAACGAUGAAUACUUGUUUUCGGCGAUAUAAUGUCGGAGGCAAAGCGAAAGCGAUAAGUAUUCCACCUGGGGAGUACGCCGGCAACGGUGAAACUCAAAGGAAUUGGCGGGG
RNAcentral lists this ribosomal RNA (392 nucleotides) under uncultured bacterium. RNAcentral describes it as "partial 16S ribosomal RNA". It matches the Rfam family "Bacterial small subunit ribosomal RNA", at positions 523 to 918 of the family's 1533-position model. The record is from RNAcentral.